RNAcentral lists this ribosomal RNA (658 nucleotides) under uncultured bacterium. RNAcentral's name for it is "bacterial SSU rRNA". It matches the Rfam family "Bacterial small subunit ribosomal RNA", at positions 94 to 788 of the family's 1533-position model. The record is from RNAcentral.
AGUGGCGGACGGGUGAGUAACGCGUGAGAAUCUGCCUUGGGGUCGGGGACAACCACUGGAAACGGUGGCUAAUACCGGAUAAGCCGAUUGGUGAAAGAUUUAUUGCCCGAAGAGGAGCUCGCGUCUGAUUAGCUAGUUGGUGAGGUAAGAGCUCACCAAUGCAGCGAUCAGUAGCUGGUCUGAGAGGACGAUCAGCCACACUGGGACUGAGACACGGCCCAGACUCCUACGGGAGGCAGCAGUGGGGAAUUUUCCGCAAUGGGCGAAAGCCUGACGGAGCAAGACCGCGUGAGGGCAAGGCUCUUGGGUUGUAAACCUCUUUUCUCAGGGAAGAAGCUCUGACGGUACCUGAGGAAUCAGCCUCGGCUAACUCCGUGCCAGCAGCCGCGGUAAUACGGAGGAGGCAAGCGUUAUCCGGAAUUAUUGGGCGUAAAGCGUCCGCAGGUGGCGAUUCAAGUCUGCUGUCAAAGCACGGGGCUUAACUCCGUAAAGGCAGUGGAAACUGAAUAGCUAGAGUGCCGUAGGGGUAGAGGGAAUUCCCGGUGUAGCGGUGAAAUGCGUAGAGAUCGGGAAGAACAUCGGUGGCGAAAGCGCUCUACUGGACGGCAACUGACACUCAGGGACGAAAGCUAGGGGAGCGAAUGGGAUUAGAUACCCC